Oncorhynchus nerka (sockeye salmon) is the source of this 2393-nucleotide long non-coding RNA. RefSeq lists it as uncharacterized. The record is from RefSeq and is a predicted model, not a curated record. The transcript has 2 exons. NCBI's taxonomy places the organism in Eukaryota, Metazoa, Chordata, Actinopteri, Salmoniformes, Salmonidae.
UUAAGGACAGACCCUGGAACAGGUGCAGGGUUUUAAGGACAGACCCUGGAACAGGUCUUUGAGUGCAGGGUUUUAAGGACAGACCCUGGAACAGGUGCAGGGUUUUAAGGACAGACCCUGGAACAGGUGCAGGGUUUUAAGGACAGACCCUGGAACAGGUGCAGGGUUUUAAGGACAGACCCUGGAACAGGUGCAGGGUUUUAAGGACAGACCCUGGAACAGGUGCAGGGUUUUAAGGACAGACCCUGGAACAGGUGCAGGGUGAGCAGUGGACAGACUAGUUUAUCUCCUGCUGGGACUGCUGUUUAUGUAUUAAACUACUAAAGACCAUUUCAAGAGAAUGAGGCUUUCCCUUUUCUACGAACUGCUCAUUGGUCAGUGUUUUCUAGAGGAGUCGGUCCUUCUGUAGGGUCAGUCCUUCUGUAGGGUCAGUCCUACUGUAGGGUCAGUCCUACUGUAGGGUCAGUGUUACUCUAGGGCCAGUCCUACUGUAGGGUCAGUCCUUCUAAAGGGUCAGUCCUACUGUAGGGUCAGUCCUACUGUAGGGUCAGUCCUUCUGUAGGGUCAGUCCUACUGUAGGGUCAGUCCUUCUGAAGGGUCAGUCCUACUGUAGGGUCAGUCCUACUGUAGGGUCAGUCCUUCUGAAGGGUCAGUCCUACUGUAGGGUCAGUCCUACUGUAGGGUCAGUCCUACUGUAGGGUCAUAGAUACUGUAGGGUCAUAGAUACUGUAGGGUCAGUCCUACUGUAGGGUCAGUCCUACUGUAGGGUCUGUCCUACUGUAGGGUCGGUGUUACUGUAGGGUCGGUGUUACUGUAGGGUCGGUGUUACUGUAGGGUCGGUGUUACUGUAGGGUCGGUGUUACUGUAGGGUCGGUGUUACUGUAGGGUCAGUCCUACUGUAGGUUCAUAGUUACUGUAGGGUCAGUCCUACUGUAGGGUCAGUGUUACUCUAGGGCCAGUCCUACUGUAGGGUCAGUCCUUCUGAAGGGUCAGUGUUACUCUAGGGCCAGUUCUACUGUAGGGUCAUAGAUACUGUAGGGUCAGUCCUACUGUAGGGUCAGUGUUACUGUAGGGUCAGUCCUACUGUAGGGUCAUAGAUACUGUAGGGUCAUAGAUACUGUAGGGUCAGUCCUACAGUAGGGUCAGUGUUACUGUAGGGUCAGUGUUACUGUAGGGUCAGUCCUACUGUAGGGUCAGUCCUACUGUAGGGUCAGUCCUACUGUAGGGUCAGUCCUACUGUAGGGUCAGUGUUACUGUAGGGUCAUAGACACUGUAGUGUCGGUCCUACUGUAGGGUCAGUCCUACUGUAGGGUCAGUCCUACUGUAGGGUCAGUGGUACUGUAGGGUCAGUCCUACUGUAGGGUCAGUCCUACUGUAGGGUCAGUCCUACUGUAGUGUCGGUCCUACUGUAGGGUCGGUGUUACUGUAGUCAGUUACUGUAGGGUCAGUAGGGUCAGUCCUACUGUAGGGUCGGUUCUACUGUAGGGUCGGUCCUACUGUAGGGUCGGUUCUACUGUAGGGUCGGUUCUACUGUAGGGUCGGUCCUACUGUAGGGUCAGUGUUACUGUAGGGUCGGUCCUACUGUAGGGUCAGUCCUACUGUAGGGUCAGUAGGGUCAGUCAUGCUGUAGGGUCAGUCAUGCUGUAGGGUCGGUCCUACUGUAGGGUCAGUAGGGUCAGUCCUACUGUAGGGUCAGUAGGGUCAGUCAUGCUGUAGGGUCAGUAGGGUCAGUCAUGCUGUAGGGUCAGUCAUGCUGUAGGGUCAGUAGGGUCAGUCCUACUGUAGGGUCAGUAGGGUCAGUCAUGCUGUAGGGUCAGUCCUGCUGUAGGGUCAGUCCUGCUGUAGGGUCAGUCCUGCUGUAGGGUCAGUCCUGCUGUAGGGUCGGUCCUGCUGUAGGGUCGGUCCUGCUGUAGGGUCGGUCCUGCUGUAGGGUCAGUCUGUCAUCUUCACGUUGUCCUCUCUGUAUCCUCUGGUUUUAGGGAGGAGGAUGUCGCCACGGUGAGGACCCACAGAAACCAGCUCUGUGAUUGGCUAGGAGUACAGAAGCCCCAACUCGUUGCCAAGGGUCCUGUCCAGUAGGCCCGGGGGAAACUAUUCUCAGCAGGAACUAAAGAACUGUAGCACAGGAUCCUUCAGGAUGGCAUUCUGUGUGACGCAUCACAAAGUACAGCUGCACUUCUAAAAGGUCACAGCCUUCAGUGAUGUUCCAAGACCCACACACUUUGCUACAGUACAUUCUAAUUGGUAUGCUAGUAUGGUCAUGAAAUGUACGGUAGUCUGGGUUCAUCUGGGAUUCGUCUGUCUGUCUGUCGAACGUCUUUAAAUGAGAAUGUCCACUGCAAAAGUAAAAAAAAGAACAAAAACAGUCUGUCAAUAAACAAACAGAAACUGCA